AUGAGCAAUUUAGCUCAUCAACACUUCCAAAACAUAUUUGGCUCUGACCAUCCACGAUCUGUUGCGCUAAAUUGGGAUGAGCUCGAUCGUGAGCAUGUGGAUUUGUUGGGCCUUGAGGGAGAAAUCACCCUAGAGGAAGUGAAGAGAGCAAUCGACGAAAUGCCAGCAGACAAAGCGCCGGGGCCGGAUGGCUUCUCGGGGGGAUUUUUCAAACAAUGCUGGGAAACCAUCAAGCAAGAUCUGCUAGACGCCCCCAAGCAAUUAUACAGAAUGGACAGUCGAGGUCUAGCGCGUAUUAACAUUGCUAUCUUGGUGCUCAUUCCUAAGAAACAGGGGGCGGACACGCUACAAGAGUUCAGGCCAAUCUCACUCCUUCACAGUCUGAUCAAAAUCUUCUCUAAAAUCCUAGUGGGUAGGCUGGCCCCUAAGCUAGGUGAUCUGGUCGAUCAAUGUCAAAAUGCGUUUAUCAAAAAACGCAACAUCCAAGAAAAUUUCUUGUACAUUCAGAACACUAUUAAGAGGCUACACAAGACAAAGACACCGUCAAUCCUUCUGAAACUUGAUAUUGCCAAGGCCUUCGACUCGCUUUCAUGGGCAUACCUGAUGGAUAUGUUAGAAGCGUGA
Molecule: ribosomal RNA, 624 nt
Filed under: Triticum aestivum (bread wheat)
Lineage: Eukaryota; Viridiplantae; Streptophyta; Magnoliopsida; Poales; Poaceae
Description: partial small subunit ribosomal RNA
Source: RNAcentral